Molecule: ribosomal RNA, 253 nt
Filed under: uncultured bacterium
Lineage: Bacteria
Description: partial 16S ribosomal RNA
Rfam family: Bacterial small subunit ribosomal RNA
Source: RNAcentral
UACGAAGGGAGCUAGCGUUGUUCGGAAUCACUGGGCGUAAAGCGCGCGCAGGUGGCUUUUCAAGUUAGGAGUGAAAGCCUGGGGCUCAACCCCAGAACUGCUCUUAAGACUGAGGGGCUAGAGUGUGGGAGAGGAUAGCGGAAUUCCGUGUGUAGAGGUGAAAUUCGUAGAUAUACGGAGGAACACCAAUGGCGAAGGCAGCUAUCUGGAACACAACUGACACUGAGGCGCGAAAGUGUGGGGAUCAAACAGG